Molecule: non-coding RNA, 449 nt
Organism: Paralichthys olivaceus (Japanese flounder)
Lineage: Eukaryota; Metazoa; Chordata; Actinopteri; Pleuronectiformes; Paralichthyidae
Source: RefSeq, a predicted model, not a curated record
AAAAAGAAAACUGGAAACAGGAACAUCUGUUGGAUUCUGUGGAUUUCCUGUGGAUGUGCAUUCUUCAGCGCACAUUAUUAAAGAUAAGCUUUCACCGUCGCGACAAACACUGGACCAGGAGAGCCACGCAAUACAAAGUACAGCCGUGCCAAAGCAGGAGCGCACCGUGCCAAACGGAAACGCCGCGCACUGAGCGCGCAGCGACAUGAUUGAAUGCUGCCUUCAAGUGGAGUCGUGUUUACCUUGGUUAUAAGAAGUGUCCAUAUGAACGUCAUGUUUGGAACAUCUGAAAGGUCAAAGUUCAGGAGCUGUGACGUGUUUGCUGACGUUUUCAGAAAUGGUGGAGGCCAAGGAAGGUCAUUUUCGUCACAUGAUUGCUGAAUUGAUAACUCAGUGGAAGUGAAACAGUGAAAGCUACGUGGAAAAAGGUUUGGACAUGUUUUCUACUG